This 447-nucleotide ribosomal RNA is filed under the name uncultured bacterium. Its description in RNAcentral is "bacterial SSU rRNA". It matches the Rfam family "Bacterial small subunit ribosomal RNA", at positions 355 to 825 of the family's 1533-position model. The record is from RNAcentral.
UAGGGAAUAUUGGACAAUGGGCGAAAGCCUGACCCAGCAACGCCGCGUGAAGGAUGAAGUAUUUCGGUAUGUAAACUUCGUAAGAAUAGGAAGAAUAAAUGACGGUACUAUUUGUAAGGUCCGACUAACUACGUGCCAGCAGCCGCGGUAAUACGUAGGGACCAAGCGUUGUUCGGAUUUACUGGGCGUAAAGGGCGCGUAGGCGGUGUGUCAAGUCAGUUGUGAAAUCUCCGAGCUUAACUCGGAACGGUCAACUGAUACUGUCACACUAGAGUACAGAAGGGGCAAUCGGAAUUCUUGGUGUAGCGGUGAAAUGCGUAGAUAUCAAGAGGAACACCUGAGGUGAAGACGGGUUGCUGGGCUGACACUGACGCUGAGGCGCGAAAGCCAGGGGAGCAAACGGGAUUAGAUACCCCUGUAGUCCCUGAGCGGGCUGGCAAGGCGCAU